Molecule: ribosomal RNA, 468 nt
Filed under: uncultured bacterium
Lineage: Bacteria
Description: partial 16S ribosomal RNA
Rfam family: Bacterial small subunit ribosomal RNA
Source: RNAcentral
GACGAACGCUGGCGGCGUGCUUAACACAUGCAAGUCGAACGGAAAGGCCCUGCUUUUGUGGGGUGCUCGAGUGGCGAACGGGUGUGUAACACGUGAGUAACCUGCCCUUGACUUUGGGAUAACUUCAGGAAACUGGGGCUAAUACCGGAUAGGAGCUCCUGCUGCAUGGUGGGGGUUGGAAAGUUUCGGCGGUUGGGGAUGGUCUCGCGGCUUAUCCGCUUGUUGGUGGGGUAGUGGCUGACCAAGGCUUUGACGGAUAGCCGGCCUGGGAGGGUGAACGGGCACAAUGGGACUGCGGUACGGACCAGAAUGGUACGGGAGGCAGUAGUGGGGAAUAUUGCACAGUGGGCGGAAGCGUGAGGCAGCAGCGUCGCGUGCGGGAUGACGGCCUUCGGGUGGUAAACAGCUUUCGCAUGUGACGAGGCGUGAGUGACGGUAAUGGGUAAAGAAGCACCGGCUAACUACGUG